GAUGAAGAACGUAGCGAAAUGCGAUACUUGGUGUGAAUUGCAGAAUCCCGUGAACCAUCGAGUCUUUGAACGCAAGUUGCGCCUCAAGCCAUUAGGUUGAGGGCACGUCUGCCUGGGCGUCACAUAUCGUUGCCUGAUGCCAGUUUCCUCGUGAUGGGUGACUGUGCAGGGCGAAUGAUGGCUUCCCGUGAGCAUUGUUGCCUCAUGGUUGGUUGAAAAUUGAGUCCUUGGUAGGGAGCGCCGUGAUAGAUGGUGGUUGAGUGACGAACGAGGCCCAAUCAUGUGAGACCCCUACCGAAUUUGGCCUUCAUGACCCACAUGCGUCUUUGGAACGCUCAUGACGAGACCUCAGGUCAGGCGGGGCUACCCGCUGAGUUUAAGCAUAUCAAUAAGCGGAGGA
RNAcentral lists this unclassified non-coding RNA (400 nucleotides) under soil metagenome. RNAcentral's name for it is "partial contains 5.8S ribosomal RNA, internal transcribed spacer 2, and large subunit ribosomal RNA". The stretch from base 1 to 122 matches the Rfam family "5.8S ribosomal RNA", at positions 35 to 154 of the family's 154-position model. The record is from RNAcentral.